GACGAAUGCUGGCGGCGUGCCUAAUACAUGCAAGUCGAACGCAGUGGGGACGGGUGAGUAACACGUGGGUAACCGCCCAUCAGAGGGGAUAACACUUGGCAACAGGUGCUAACCCGCUACUGAUGGAUGGACCCGCUGUGCAUUAGCUAGUUGGUGGGGUAGCGGCUCACCAAGGCCACGAGGCAUAGCUGACCUGAGAGGGUGAUCGGCCACACUGGGACUGAGACACGGCCCAGACUCCUACGGGAGGCAGCAGUAGGGAAUAUUCGGCAAUGGACGAAAGUCUGACCGAGCAACGCCGCGUGAGUGAAGAAGGGGUUCGGAUCGUAAAACUCUGUUGUUAGAGAAGCGGUAUCUAAACAGAAAGCCACGGCUAACUCCGUGCCAGCAGCCGCGGUAAUAC
Molecule: ribosomal RNA, 403 nt
Filed under: uncultured bacterium
Lineage: Bacteria
Description: partial 16S ribosomal RNA
Rfam family: Bacterial small subunit ribosomal RNA
Source: RNAcentral